Molecule: non-coding RNA, 98 nt
Organism: Oligella urethralis DNF00040
Lineage: Bacteria; Pseudomonadati; Pseudomonadota; Betaproteobacteria; Burkholderiales; Alcaligenaceae
Rfam family: Bacterial small signal recognition particle RNA
About the family: The signal recognition particle (SRP) is a universally conserved ribonucleoprotein involved in the co-translational targeting of proteins to membranes. Archaeal SRP consists of a 7S RNA and homologues of the eukaryotic SRP19 and SRP54 proteins. In most bacteria, the SRP consists of a 4.5S RNA and the Ffh protein (a homologue of the eukaryotic SRP54 protein).
Source: Rfam
GGUGGGUCCCUUCGCAUAGGUCCAUGGUCAACCUGGUCAGGUCCGGAAGGAAGCAGCCACAGCCAUUCAGACUUAGUGCCGAAGUCAGGCUCACCGCC